GGCUGGGCUCCAGCCCUCCCUACCUUCUUCUGCAUGCAGUCCUCGGCCAGGGAGUCGCAGCACUGGGAGGACACCUCGGCAGCGCCCUCGGCCAGGGGCAGAAGGUCCUCGAAGGGAGCAGUGGGAACCUUCUGGGCCAGCGAGGCCAGGGUCUGCAGCAGGAGAGAGGAGCCCUGCCCCUGUUCCAGGGUGGAGAGGCCAUUUCCCCCUGUACCUGAAGCUGACUUUGUCCUUGCCAUAGGCCGAGAAGCGGGAGCAAAUCCGGUUUGACGUCAGGCAGGAGGGGUCAGCCCCGUCGGCGCAGCAGGUCUCGGCCAGGGAGACGAUUUCCCGCACGAGGCUGCCGAUCUCCUCGAAGGUGCCGUUGGAAUAUUUGCGGCUGUUGGCAACCAUGGUCCUGGCAGCAGGGACAGGGAGAGCCAGGUGUCCAGCAGCAGGAGGUACCUACAUGGUUCUGAAGUUCUCCUUUCCCAGGAUCUUGUACUCCUGGCAGACUUUCUCCCGGACAUAAGCUUUCCCUGAAAGUGCAGGAGAAGGAGGAAUUGAGGAUUUGGUGGUCCCUGGGGAGAUAUUGGCACAGCCGGCCUGGGAGAAGCAUCCCUGGUGUCCAGGCUGCUGCUCCAGCCCCACAGCCAGGGAAAGGAGCAGGGAGAAAACCCUUCCUGGAGCUGGGAGAGCUACAGGUAAAUCACACAGCAGUUUUUGGAGGAUGGAAUAUGUGGGGUUGGGUUUUUUUGGCAGGGCCUGGAAACCAUAAGGGCUGGGAAACCAUGCGGGGCCAGGUCCAGGGAGCAGCCAGGAGUGAAAACAUUCCCGGCAGCGCUGCCAUCCCUGGAAAAGCGCGAUCGAUCCGUGUGGGGCCAGACUUUGGCACCAGCAGGGUAAACACGGCCCCCGGCGUUCCCUGGGAUUGCAGCGUGGGGCAGGGUCACCUCCCCAAAACCAGGACUCGGAGGGUCACCUCGCCCCGCUGGGAAUGGAGGGGCUGCCCCAAAAGGGGAAACCAUGGAGCAGGCGCGUUUCUUUCCCGGCAGGAACGCCGGCUCCCGGUCCCAACCCGUGGCAUUGCCGUUCACUUGUACAAAGCCGUGUGGGAGAGGUGAGGUCUGGGUGUUUUUUGGCAGGUGGGCAGUCCCUGUGGAGCUGAGGAGGCAGCCGAGGGCGGCAGAGCACGGUUUCCACCAAGGGGGAUGGGUGAAACCUCGGGAUCUGUGAAGGAUGCCGGGAGCAACACGAGCGACAGGACGAGAAGAAGCUCUCGGGUCCAAGGAGAAGAUCCAGCUGAAGUGAUCCUCGCUGUCCUGCCUGGACAGCUGAUGAGAGGGAAGCACAGAGGGAGGGAUGGAGAUCCAGCUGCUGCAGUGGGACCCCUGGCUCCCAAAUCCGCCCAGCCUCCAUGC
Molecule: long non-coding RNA, 1400 nt
Organism: Passer domesticus (house sparrow)
Lineage: Eukaryota; Metazoa; Chordata; Aves; Passeriformes; Passeridae
Exons: 7
Source: RefSeq, a predicted model, not a curated record